UACGUAGGUGGCAAGCGUUGUCCGGAUUUAUUGGGCGUACAGGGCGCGCAGGCGGUUCGUUAGGUUCGAGGUGAAAUCUCUUGGCUCAACUGGGAGAGGUCUUCGGAUACCGGCGGACUUGAGGAGAGCAGAGGUGAGUGGAAUUCUGGGUGUAGUGGUGAAAUGCGUAGAUAUCCAGAGGAACACCAGUGGCGAAGGCGACUCACUGGGCUCCACCUGACGCUGAGGCGCGAAAGCGUGGGGAGCGAACCGG
RNAcentral lists this ribosomal RNA (253 nucleotides) under uncultured bacterium. Its description in RNAcentral is "partial 16S ribosomal RNA". It matches the Rfam family "Bacterial small subunit ribosomal RNA", at positions 524 to 776 of the family's 1533-position model. The record is from RNAcentral.